Molecule: long non-coding RNA, 439 nt
Organism: Cottoperca gobio
Lineage: Eukaryota; Metazoa; Chordata; Actinopteri; Perciformes; Bovichtidae
Exons: 4
Source: RefSeq, a predicted model, not a curated record
CGCCAUCUUGUUUCUUUACGUUACUAUUAAAAGGAAGAGGGCCGGAUUUCUCCGGUGGGUGCCAGGAACCCAUUGGCUGAACAAGGGAGGUGUGUACAGCAAGAUCCUACCACACAUUGUUUUUGGCACAAUAAGCAUCAUGGCUGCUGUUGUUAGCAUAUGGCUGCCAGACACCAGAAACAGCAAACUUCCUGACCUCAUCAGCCAGGCCAAACGCAUCAGAGGGUGUGUCGCUCUGCUGCUGUAAAAAGGAAACAGCUCCAGCCCAGUCAGACACAAUUCUGAAUAGAAUUAAGCAAGAGCGCCCUCUGCUGACUGAAAAUCGCGAAUCAAGAGUGCAGUGAAAAUGUGGUCCACGGCUGGAUUACCAGCUGAUUCAAGCAGGCAACAUCUCCAGGGCUCCAGAUCCAGCAACAGCACAUAUCGCAAAGAUAACAUA